This 654-nucleotide ribosomal RNA is filed under the name uncultured archaeon. RNAcentral's name for it is "bacterial SSU rRNA". It matches the Rfam family "Archaeal small subunit ribosomal RNA", at positions 34 to 697 of the family's 1478-position model. The record is from RNAcentral.
UGGAGUCGAUAGCAUGCGAGUCCAGAGCUUUCGGAGCUCGGCGUACCGCUCAGUAACACGUGGGUAACCUCACUUAUGCAGGGGAAUAACCUCGGGAAACUGAGUAUAAUGCCCCAUAUUCCACUACGCCUGGAACGGUGAGUGGAUCAAAGCUCAGGCGGCAUAGGAUGGGCCUGCGGCGUAUCAGGUUGUAGGGGGUGUAAAGUACCCUCUAGCCAUCUGCGCGUACGGGUGUUGGGAGACAUAGCCCGGAGAUGGAUUCUGAGACACGAAUCCAGACCCUACGGGGUGCAGCAGGCGCGAAAACUUGACAAUGCGAGCAAUCGUGAUCAGGGAACUCCAAGUGGCUGGGGUAAGACCCAGUCUUUUCAUAACUCUUCAAAGGUUGUAGAAUAAGGGGUGGGUAAGGACGGUGCCAGCCGCCGCGGUAAUACCGGCGCCUCAAGUGGUAGUCGCUUUUAUUGGGCCUAAAACGUCCGUAGCCGGUUUGGUACAUUCGUGGGUAAAUCAACUCGCUCAACGAGUUGAAUUCUGCGAGGACGGCCAGACUUGGGACCGGGAGAGGUGUGGGGUACUCUCAGGGUAGGGGUAAAAUCCUGUCAUCCUGAGAGGACCACCUGUUGCGAAGGCACCACACUAGAACGGAUCCGACGG